GACGAACGCUGGCGGCGUGCUUAACACAUGCAAGUCGAACGGACGGACCAUGAGUUUGUGUCGUGGUUGUUAGGGGAGCGCGUGAGUAUAACGUGUGUAACGUCUCCUUGUAAUAGGGGUAUAUUUAGGGGACUGGGGCUCAUAACGGGUAGGAGCUCCUGAAGCAUGGUGGGGAAUGGUAAGUGUCGGUGGUUGGGGCUGGUCUCGAUGCUUAUGAGCUUGUUGGGCGGGUAGUGGAUUACCAGGGCUUUGACGGGUAGGCGGCAUGUGAGGGGGACCGGCCACAAUGGGACUGAGGUACGGCGCAGACUCCUACGGGAGGCAGUAGUCGGGAAUAUUGCACAAUGGGCGCAAGCCAGAGGCAGCGACGCCGCGAGCGGGAUGAUGGCUUUCGGGUUGUAAACCUCUGUCGACUGAGACGAAGCGUGAGUGACGGUAACUAGUAAAGAAGCAACGGCUAACUACGUG
RNAcentral lists this ribosomal RNA (468 nucleotides) under uncultured bacterium. Its description in RNAcentral is "partial 16S ribosomal RNA". It matches the Rfam family "Bacterial small subunit ribosomal RNA", at positions 28 to 507 of the family's 1533-position model. The record is from RNAcentral.